Molecule: long non-coding RNA, 742 nt
Filed under: Oryza brachyantha (malo sina)
Lineage: Eukaryota; Viridiplantae; Streptophyta; Magnoliopsida; Poales; Poaceae
Description: long non-coding RNA (OBRA_LNC003310)
Source: RNAcentral
GUCGAUGGACCGCAUGGGCCCGAAGCAACCUCACGACCACGUUACAUGGAUGACUCGACGGGUGAGGUUUUUCUAGAUGGGUACGGAUUUAGGAAAAUUUUUUACCCACGAUGAGUAUGGGUAUAUUGAUAGAACCGAAAGUCGAUCUGGGAUACCAAUACCCGAUAGAGAUUUAUCCAUUGACGUCUCUACAUAGAUGGAUCACUCCGGUGCAUGGCUUGUAGCAUACUUUUUCUUAUUUUAUUUGUUUGAACAGCGCUAUAUAUUCGUAUGGAGAGAGUACCGUGGUAGUUAGGCGUGGAAAGCACGGGGAGAUCGGCCGCGAAAUAUUUGUGUGUUCUUCCGUAAGAAUCUUCCAAAUUUUCAGUAUACAUGAUGGACCAGACAUGUUGCAGAUUCCAUUACAUGUAUCCCUCCCUAUCACUGGGAGUAAUUCUUAUUAACCUCACCAUUUUUUUGAUUAACCUCCCUAUCAUUCUGUUUUUUUUUACCUUUUUAUAAACAUUAACACAAACAGGUUGUUACAUGGACCCCAUCGAGGAAGUCAACAAGAGCUUCUAGACGUCGUGAAUUUCACUGUAGUUGGAACUACCCUGAACUUCUGGAAAACAGAACUCAGUCCCUCUGUUCAUUUCCUCAGUAAUUUUCUCGCAAGAUCAGAGUAAACUGCAUGAGCAUAUGGUUAUGUUCGUCCAAAAAACAAUCAAUUAAACGCAUUUUUUCAGCUUUCUCUGUGACCGAC